This 88-nucleotide transfer RNA is filed under the name Deltaproteobacteria bacterium. RNAcentral describes it as "tRNA-Leu". It matches the Rfam family "tRNA". From Rfam's summary of the family: Transfer RNA (tRNA) molecules are approximately 80 nucleotides in length. RNAcentral also lists the same sequence under 3 other names. Lineage: Bacteria; Pseudomonadati; Myxococcota; Myxococcia. The record is from RNAcentral.
GCCUGGGUGGCGGAACUGGUAGACGCAAGGGACUUAAAAUCCCUCGGGCAAAUUGCCUGUACGAGUUCAAUUCUCGUCCCAGGUACCA